Molecule: ribosomal RNA, 253 nt
Filed under: uncultured bacterium
Lineage: Bacteria
Description: partial 16S ribosomal RNA
Rfam family: Bacterial small subunit ribosomal RNA
Source: RNAcentral
UACGGAGGGUGCAAGCGUUAUCCGGAUUCACUGGGUUUAAAGGGUGCGUAGGCGGUGAGGUAAGUCCGGGGUGAAAUCUCUGAGCUUAACUCAGAAACUGCCAUGGAUACUAUUUGUCUUGAAUAUUGUGGAGGUAAGCGGAAUAUGUCAUGUAGCGGUGAAAUGCUUAGAUAUGACAUAGAACACCAAUUGCGAAGGCAGCUUACUACACAGUUAUUGACGCUGAGGCACGAAAGCGUGGGGAUCAAACAGG